UGAGAUUCUUCAAAGUAGCCACCCGUUCGUUGCCUUGACAGCUUUGCACACUCUUGUCAUUGGGUGUGUGCCACUCCAAUGCUUGUUAACGACAUGGUUGUGCUGUGAAGAUUGUUAGAUUUGAGAAGGGUCAGUGCUAUCCGGGAUCAUUGGGAAGUCCUGUAACCUUUUGAAGUGGACAUUUAAAACGUUUAAAGGUAGAGGUUAAGGUGAGGGUUUUAGUGUAGGGACGUCCCAAGGACACCGGAUAGCACUGACCGUUUGAGAGGUGCGCUCCUCUCACCGCUUUUGGCGGUUCACUGUAACGGACCAUAGACCUGUGCACUGCAUCGAUUACGGACAUUACGUUUCCUUUCCAUGCGUGUCACCGUGGUCAAAGCACCUUUUCUUUCCUAAAACCUUUGUCGCGUUCAAAAAAACGGAGAAUUCAGAUGCAUCCCGUCUUCAUUGCGUCCAUAACAACUGGAAACUCGGGGAAAAUAGCUCCGACUCGGUAAAAUCGUUUUGAACAGUCGUCCAAAGAAGAUCACUGACGUCUUGAUUUGACCACGUUUUCUACCAGUUACCAGUUGACUUGAAAGCACCAUACAUUCUCCGAGCUACACUAGUGGACACGGUUAUCGGUAAUAUUACAGCAACAAAGCAUUCCGGACGCGGGGAGGCAAGCUGGGACUGACUACCACAUGAGUGAGAAUACCGGGGAAAGGCUAAUUUAACGCUAUUUCUCCGGUAUAGGCUAAGCGGUAGAGCCUACAGACAAAAAUAAAAGACAAUAUGAUAAGCAGAUCAUCUUUUGCUGACUCGAAUAUUCUACACACUUUCUGUCAGCAACAAUGGAAUUUAGUUUUAUAUUGCCUAUUCUCUUUACGUUUCUUGCUACUACUCUGGUGACCUCAUUGUUCAGUAACAACGAUACUCUGCUGCUGACUCGUCCUCUGGCUUUGCAGCAUCCAAAGCAGAUCACUCAGGGGAGGAGGGAGCGAUGAGGUGAAAACUGGAUUAGUUAAAUCAGGACCGUCGGUAAAUCUUACGGAGAAACAGGGGACAGUAGCAGGGCUAACCUCUGCGGACAAACCGGAGGAGGACAGUGAAUGCCGAUUCGUGGGGAAGAUAACGGAUCCGGUGGCAGCGGACAGAAGGACAGUUUGGAAGGAGGGGAUCCAAGCUGCCGUGCACGAGCAAAUGGUGAAAUCUGGCAUUAUGUCUGGCCAACAGUGCUGGAACUCAAACCACGCCUCAGCGCCGGUGGACAUUCCAGGAAGAUACUUUGGUCACCUACAUUUCCCUGAGGGGUGGUCUUUUCUCUUAGCAGAUAUGGAAGAAGUGGACGUAGAAUGUGCGCCCAUGAAAUACGCCCCCAGGAUGCAGCGGACCAGCCAGAUGGAGAAGAUGAGGAGCUGGAGGAGGAACAGCGGGUAGAGUUCACCACUGACUUUACCUCUCUGUAAGCCGAUCAGACAGACAGACAGACAGACGGACGGACGGGCGGGCGGGCGUUGUAAUAAAAGCAUGGGUGCAAUGGGAGCAGCUGUCAGCCAUCUUCCAGCUGCUGAAGGAGAACCAGGAGACGUUUGGGGAGGUGUCAGAGGGAGACGUGGAGGAGCAACUCUACUCCAUCUAAACCCCUAGUCUACUCACAGUCGACUGUACUACGUCUAACUCUACUUUCCCCAAACUCUACUCUAUGUUAAUCCCACAUAAAGCUCACAAUCAAGAUUAAGGUGCAUUCACAUGGUCCACUGGGUUUCAAAGGGGGUGUUGUUUCAAAGGUCCACUCUGUUUUGAGGCACAUACUCUUCUCUAAAGAUUCUGAGGUGAUGGCAAAUCAGGCUUUGGAUAGUUGGGCCUGACUGAUUUGAUUGGUCUGAUAAAAUACGAGGUUCUUACAUCGUACACACCCAUGAAAGCCAACAGUUUCAGCAAGCCUCACAUCAAACUCUUAUCUGAACAGAUCUUUCUCCUUUCAGCUAUUCCCUGCCUUGCCUCGGCCGUAUCCUUAUCUCGUCCAUUGCUAUCUCUCCUCACCCUUUCCCAUGGAGCACCCGUUCCCAUGGAGCAUCCUUUCCCAUGGAGCACCCUUUGCCAUGGAGCACCCUUUCCCAUGGAGCACCCUUUGCCAUGGAGCACCCUUUCCCAUGGAGCACCCUUUCCCAUGGAGCACCCUUUCCCAUGGAGCACCCUUUCCCAUGGAGCACCCUUUCCAUGGAGCACCCGUUCCCAUGGAGCACCCGUUCCCAUAGAGCACCCUUUCCCAUGGAGCACCCGUUCCCAUGGAGCACCCUUUGCCAUGGAGCACCCUUUCUCAUGGAGCACCCUUUGCCAUGGAGCACCCGUUCCCAUGGAGCACCCUUUGCCAUGGAGCACCCUUUCUCAUGGAGCACCCUUUCCCAUGGAGCACCCUUUCCCAUGGAGCACCCUUUCUCAUGGAGCACCCUUUCUCAUGGAGCACCCUUUCUCAUGGAGCACCCUUUCCCAUGGAGCACCCUUUCCCUCUAGACACCUCUGUUUGAACAAACACAUCAUUGGUGCGAACACAAACAUGUACAUUAGAUACUCCAACACGGCUUCUGCUGUUUAUUACUUUUAUAUACCAUUCAAAGCAAUAAGCACUGUGUAUUUGAUACAAGUAAUGGCGUCAUCGUUGUGUCAAUUCUGGAUUUUGUCGUCUCCCCUGUGUGUGCAAGUGUGUGGCUGGCAAUGUAAUCUGACUAAAUGUCUGUAAUAAUAAUAAUAAUAAUAAUCAAUAAUAGAUUUUAUUUGUAGAGACCUUUUCGUUUACAGACAGAAAUCAAAGCUGUGCAGAGUUGCAUACUUACUGCAUUCAUACUGCGUGCUUUUUACACUGAGUUUGGAACAGUUUUUGAAGAAGCAACAGGUAAGGCGAUGACAUCAAAUCAAAUCAAAUCAAAUUUAUUGAUAUAGCCCUUCGUACAUCAGCUGAUAUCUCAAAGUGCUGUACAGAAACCCAGCCUAAAACCCCAAACAGCAAGCAAUGCAGGUGUAGAAGCACGGUGGCUAGGAAAAACUCCCUAGAAAGGCCAAAACCUAGGAAGAAACCUAGAGAGGAACCAGGCUAUGUGGGACAUCAGCCAUCCAUUCCAUGAAGGAUUGUGCAACAUCUUCUCCAAAGACAAUAAGACUCAUCUACAGUAAGGCUUUAUUGAGCUUACACAUUAAAUGUAUUGCUAACGCUUUUGGGAUUUGAAAUGUUUCUUCUAAAAUGUCUUUACAUGUCACAUGCCUAUGCAUUUAUUUAUUAGUGGUGUAAAGUAUUUAAUACUUACAAAGUAUUUGUACUUAAGUCGUUUUUUGGGGGUAUCUUUUUUUUUGCCUUUACCUCCCUUCUCACCUCAUUUGCUCACAUUGUAUAUAGACUUGUUUAUACUGCAUUAUUGACUGUAUGUUUGUUUUUACUCCAUGUGUAACUCUGUGUCGUUUUAUCUGUCGAACUGCUUUGCUUUAUCUUGGCCAGGUCGCAAUUGUAAAUGAGAACUUGUUCUCAACUUGCCUACCUGGUUAAAUAAAGGUAAAAUAAAAAAUAAAUAAAAAUUUA
Long non-coding RNA from Oncorhynchus kisutch (coho salmon), 3553 nucleotides. RefSeq lists it as uncharacterized. The transcript is spliced from 4 exons. NCBI's taxonomy places the organism in Eukaryota, Metazoa, Chordata, Actinopteri, Salmoniformes, Salmonidae. The record is from RefSeq and is a predicted model, not a curated record.